RNAcentral lists this ribosomal RNA (774 nucleotides) under Chlorella sp. ACB2. RNAcentral's name for it is "partial 18S ribosomal RNA". It matches the Rfam family "Eukaryotic small subunit ribosomal RNA". The record is from RNAcentral. Lineage: Eukaryota; Viridiplantae; Chlorophyta; Trebouxiophyceae; Chlorellales; Chlorellaceae.
GGGGGYYKRMWYMYKACUGWWGMUUCACGAGCCUAGCCUUGGCCGAGAGGCCCGGGUAAUCUUUGAAACUGCAUCGUGAUGGGGAUAGAUUAUUGCAAUUAUUAAUCUUCAACGAGGAAUGCCUAGUAAGCGCAAGUCAUCAGCUUUAAUCACACUAGAGCUGCAGAGCAGGCCGGAAAAGGGUCACCUGCUAGUCCCGGGAGCGGAUGGGUUCUCCAGCCACCCGGGGCGACACCUUCAAAUUGCCCGGACCUCCCGUCAGGCCCCCGGUACCGUUUCUCGGUGGGAAACCUCCGAGUUACACCGCGGCGAAAGCCGUGGGCAUGGUAACAACMCGGUGGGAUAGGGACAAUGGGCAGCCAAGCCUUAAGGGAAGCUUGCCUUCCUAUGGGUGCAGUUCACAGACUAGAUGUGGGUGGGUCUGGCCUUGUCGGCCGGGCUUAAGAUAUAGUCGGCCCGCUCCGAGAGGAGAGCCCAAGGGAGGAACUCUUUCUGUGAAGAGAGAGAGUGAGAGCCCUUGGGGGGUGGGGUAGUAGUCGAUUGUCGACGGCAUGAUAACACUCAGGCCUCCCACCCGGACAAUGCGGCGUUGAUUACGUCCCUGCCCUUUGUACACACCGCCCGUCGCUCCUACCGAUUGGGUGUGCUGGUGAAGUGUUCGGAUUGGCGACCGGGGACGGUCUCCGCUCUCGGCCGCCGAAAAGUUCAUUAAACCCUCCCACCUAGAGGAAGGAGAAGUCGUAACAAGGUUUCCGAGUKGAAACCCUGCAAAAA